AAUAAGAUGCCUGAAAAAAAGGGUUACCUUGAUAGGGUAAAUUAUGUGGAAAACCACUCUUAUUA
This 65-nucleotide transfer RNA is filed under the name Hydrophilidae sp. BMNH 1274333. RNAcentral describes it as "tRNA-Ile". The record is from RNAcentral. Lineage: Eukaryota; Metazoa; Arthropoda; Insecta; Coleoptera; Hydrophilidae.